This is a small nucleolar RNA of Abrus precatorius (Indian licorice), 107 nucleotides long. The record is from RefSeq and is a predicted model, not a curated record. NCBI's taxonomy places the organism in Eukaryota, Viridiplantae, Streptophyta, Magnoliopsida, Fabales, Fabaceae.
AUACAAUGAUGUCGACACCUCCUUAAUAGCUCCUUAUAUCUUUCCCAAGCUUCAUACAAGGAUUCUCCUUCCUACUGCACAAAGGAUGUAAUUUCUCCUCUCAGCUU